Molecule: transfer RNA, 64 nt
Filed under: Tropostreptus austerus
Lineage: Eukaryota; Metazoa; Arthropoda; Diplopoda; Spirostreptida; Spirostreptidae
Description: tRNA-Phe
Source: RNAcentral
AUUUAAAUAGCUUAUUUAAAGCGUGGCUUUGAAGAAGCCCAGAAGAACAUAAAAUCUUUAAAUA